Molecule: non-coding RNA, 26 nt
Filed under: Mus musculus (house mouse)
Lineage: Eukaryota; Metazoa; Chordata; Mammalia; Rodentia; Muridae
Source: RNAcentral
UAUGUAGCAGAAGAUGGCCUAGUCAG